AUCAGGGCUUGCACAAAUUGUAAGUAUAGUAUUUCACAAACCCUGGGUUGGAACAUUUACAGGAGGGAGGAGGAAAGUCUCCUGCAUUUGUUUCUUCCUGCAGUCAAAUGUAGAAUGGUCACAACCCAGAAAAGACCCUGAUCUGAACAACCAAAGGAUUCAGGAUCUUACCCAGUCUGACCAGAAGGCUUACUCCCAUUUACCUGAAAAUGAAACCAGGACUAUAACUGCAUCACCAUGGAUACAGGAUUUCAGGGGUCACAGAAUCAGAUCAAACCACCAUAUGAUGAAAGCAGAAAAAUCCCUGAUUAAAAAACUCUGUAAACAGUUGGAAAAGCCCAGCAACAGCAAAUUCUGUGGAGUAGAAACCAAAGCAAGAGAUUCUAUCUUCAUUGCCAUCUUUGGCUGGAAGUGCACACCACACCAAAAUCACAACUGUUUCAUGAGAAGCUUCAUGAUAACUCCCAUCAAGCUUUGAUACAGUUUGAAUAAGCACAGUGACUUCAGUACUUCUGCAACCAAGACACUUUACUUUCUGUCUAAUUCAUGCUGAACAGAGAUAUGAGAAAUCUCUUCCACCCAACAUGGGCAGUUAUGUCCAUGAAUUCAGACAUUAACAGGGCUGGCUUGGAGCUGGUGAGUUAGAAGCAGAUGGGCAAUGGCUGGCUCCAUCCCCUCUGCCAUGCAAAGUGAAUGAGCUGGCAAGAGACAGAUGAUGAGCAACAAAUGACUCUUCUGUAACUCCUGGGAACAAGGUUAAUGCAAGAAGGAACCUUCUGUGCAGCCCUACUUACACACUGUUAGUUCCUCUGAGCUGUACACAAUUACAGUCUACUUACAUCAGCAAAAGGGAAAGAGGGAAACAGACAUUAUACAGGAGAUGGGAAAUAGCAAAAACCUUUUGAUGCUCUGAGGACGGCGACAGCAGAGCACAGCACUGUUGCAAGAAGAUGACAAAAACAGACUUCAAAAACUCCAACUCUAAUUCUUACAAAGGUACAAAAACAAAGAAAAGGAGACAAAGCUCUUAUUAAAGAGAUGGUAGCAAACAAUUAUUCUAGGAACCCUGGCACCUUUAAACACACCCACACGAAUGCUUAAUUUCUGUAAAUUUCAGAGCUUGGAAAAAAAGAUGAAGUGAAAGAACAGAAAUGUUUCCCUUCUUAAAAAGACCAGAGAGAGAACAGGGUAACUCUAGCUCUGGCACCCUGACUUCAGUUCCAGGUAAAAUAUUAGCAAAGCCUGAGAGGAGCAGCUGUUUUCAGAUGGAUAGGGCAGACAAAUCUACCGGUUUCAAGCCAAGAGGGAUUUGUGAAUCAGACAAUGCCAAAGAAACCGAUCGGCUUUUUUAAUAUGGUAUCUGAGUAGGUGUUGUUGUUUGUUUUGGUUUGUUUUGUUUUUAAAGGCCUGUGCUAUUUGGAAACAGCUAAAUAAUGCCUGGACAAGAAUUCAAUAAAGUGAGUACCAAGUACCA
RNAcentral lists this long non-coding RNA (1474 nucleotides) under Coturnix japonica (Japanese quail). Its description in RNAcentral is "lncRNA (ENSCJPG00005020300.1)". Lineage: Eukaryota; Metazoa; Chordata; Aves; Galliformes; Phasianidae. The record is from RNAcentral.